GACGAACGCUGGCGGCGUGCUUAACACAUGCAAGUCGAACGAAGAGCGAUGGAAGCUUGCUUCUAUCAAUCUUAGUGGCGAACGGGUGAGUAACGCGUAAUCAACCUGCCCUUCAGAGGGGGACAACAGUUGGAAACGACUGCUAAUACCGCAUACGAUCUAAACUCGGCAUCGAGGAUAGAUGAAAGGUGGCCUCUACAUGUAAGCUAUCACUGAAGGAGGGGAUUGCGUCUGAUUAGCUAGUUGGAGGGGUAACGGCCCACCAAGGCGAUGAUCAGUAGCCGGUCUGAGAGGAUGAACGGCCACAUUGGGACUGAGACACGGCCCAGACUCCUACGGGAGGCAGCAGUGGGGAAUCUUCCGCAAUGGACGAAAGUCUGACGGAGCAACGCCGCGUGAGGGAGGACGGCCUUCGGGUUGUAAAGCUCUGUUAAUCGGGACGAAAGGCCUUCUUGCGAAUAGUGAGAAGGAUUGACGGUACCGGAAUAGAAAGCCACGGCUAACUACGUG
This 510-nucleotide ribosomal RNA is filed under the name uncultured bacterium. Its description in RNAcentral is "partial 16S ribosomal RNA". It matches the Rfam family "Bacterial small subunit ribosomal RNA", at positions 28 to 507 of the family's 1533-position model. The record is from RNAcentral.